CCUACGGGUGGCAGCAGUCGAGAAUCAUUCACAAUGGGGGAAACCCUGAUGGUGCGACGCCACGUGGGGGAAUGAAGGUCUUCGGAUUGUAAACCCCUGUCAUGUGGGAGCAAAUUAAAAAGAUAGUACCACAAGAGGAAGCGACGGCUAACUCUGUGCCAGCAGCCGCGGUAAUACAGAGGUCUCAAGCGUUGUUCGGAAUCACUGGGCGUAAAGCGUGCGUAGGCGGUUUCGUAAGUCGUGUGUGAAAGGCGCGGGCUCAACCCGCGGACGGCACAUGAUACUGCGAGACUAGAGUGAUGGAGAGGGAACCGGAAUUCUCGGUGUAGCAGUGAAAUGCGUAGAUAUCGAGAGGAACACUCGUGGCGAAGGCGGGUUCCUGGACAUUAACUGACGCUGAGGCACGAAGGCCAGGGGAGCGAAAGGGAUUAGAUACCCGUGUAGUC
RNAcentral lists this ribosomal RNA (446 nucleotides) under uncultured bacterium. RNAcentral describes it as "partial 16S ribosomal RNA". It matches the Rfam family "Bacterial small subunit ribosomal RNA", at positions 338 to 795 of the family's 1533-position model. The record is from RNAcentral.